RNAcentral lists this transfer RNA (80 nucleotides) under Paramuricea clavata. It matches the Rfam family "tRNA". Rfam says of the family: Transfer RNA (tRNA) molecules are approximately 80 nucleotides in length. Their secondary structure includes four short double-helical elements and three loops (D, anti-codon, and T loops). Lineage: Eukaryota; Metazoa; Cnidaria; Anthozoa; Malacalcyonacea; Plexauridae. The record is from Rfam by way of RNAcentral.
GACCGCAUAGCUCAGUUGACAGAGCAUUGGCAUUUGGACUAGUAUUCCAAAGGUCGUAGGUUCAAAUCCCACCGUGGCCA